Molecule: microRNA precursor, 104 nt
Filed under: Medicago truncatula (barrel medic)
Lineage: Eukaryota; Viridiplantae; Streptophyta; Magnoliopsida; Fabales; Fabaceae
Description: miR5263 stem-loop (mtr-MIR5263)
Source: miRBase by way of RNAcentral
CCCUAUGUUUUGCUCCAUUACUAGUUUUAGUCCUUUCUGUUAACGUUUUUUUGGAGAGAAACUAACAAAAAUGACUAAAACUAGUAACGGGGCAAAACAUAGAU